UCAGUUAUCGUUUAUUUGAUAGUACCUUACUACAUGGAUACCUGUGGUAAUUCUAGAGCUAAUACAUGCUAAAAACCCCGACUUCGGGAGGGGUGUAUUUAUUAGAUAAAAAACCAAUGCCCCUCGGGGCUCCUUGGUGAAUCAUAAUAACUUAACGAAUCGCAUGGCCUUGCGCCGGCGAUGGUUCAUUCAAAUUUCUGCCCUAUCAACUUUCGAUGGUAGGAUAGUGGCCUACCAUGGUGGCAACGGGUAACGGGGAAUUAGGGUUCGAUUCCGGAGAGGGAGCCUGAGAAACGGCUACCACAUCCAAGGAAGGCAGCAGGCGCGCAAAUUACCCAAUCCCGACACGGGGAGGUAGUGACAAUAAAUACUGAUACGGGGCUCUUUUGGGUCUCGUAAUUGGAAUGAGUACAAUCUAAAUCCCUUAACGAGGAACAAUUGGAGGGCAAGUCUGGUGCCAGCAGCCGCGGUAAUUCCAGCUCCAAUAGCGUAUAUUAAAGUUGUUGCAGUUAAAAAGCUCGUAGUUGAACCUUGGGUCUGGCUGGCCGGUCCGCCUCACCGCGAGUACUGGUCCGGCUGGACCUUUCCUUCUGGGGAAUCCCAUGGCCUUCACUGGCUGUGGGUGGAACCAGGACUUUUACUGUGAAAAAAUUAGAGUGUUCAAAGCAGGCCUUUGCUCGGAUACAUUAGCAUGGAAUAAUAGAAUAGGACGUGCGGUUCUAUUUUGUUGGUUUCUAGGACCGCCGUAAUGAUUAAUAGGGAUAGUCGGGGGCGUCAGUAUUCAGCUGUCAGAGGUGAAAUUCUUGGAUUUGCUGAAGACUAACUACUGCGAAAGCAUUCGCCAAGGAUGUUUUCAUUAAUCAGGGAACGAAAGUUAGGGGAUCGAAGACGAUCAGAUACCGUCGUAGUCUUAACCAUAAACUAUGCCGACUAGGGAUCGGGCGGCGUUUCUAUG
This 955-nucleotide ribosomal RNA is filed under the name Aspergillus versicolor. RNAcentral describes it as "SSU rRNA". It matches the Rfam family "Eukaryotic small subunit ribosomal RNA", at positions 106 to 1070 of the family's 1831-position model. Lineage: Eukaryota; Fungi; Ascomycota; Eurotiomycetes; Eurotiales; Aspergillaceae. The record is from RNAcentral.